UUACAUGUCUUGUCGUCAGCACAUGUCAUUGAGUCAUUGUCUGUGUGUGAAGUCUGAUGAAUAACAACUUUCAAACCAUCAGCCAUUCAGAUUUUCUUCAAUGGAAGACAGUAUAGAGCAAAUUUCAAAGAGGAUCAAAGAAAAAGAGGAAAUUUUACGAAAGCAGAAAAUGGUUAAAUUGCACAGAGCAAAGCACAAUACCACUGAACUUGAAAACUUGAUUAAAGAAUGGCUGGGAGUAUGCCAACAAACUCUUCAAGAUCUGGAACAGAAAUUGAAAGAUCAGUCGUCUGAUUCUGCAGAUUUCGGCAUUGCAAAAAUUCUUGCACAUUUGAACAUAGAGCCUGAGCUGGUUGGUUACAGUAUUGAAGACGAAAUGUUUACCAACUGAAGAUGUAUUCACUGUGUAUAUCCGUUUCAAGAGUUGUGUUCUGACAUCUUCAAAAUGCACUCGCUUCACAAUAGAUAGUACUACGUAAAAAAUGUCUACCGCCAAAGGAACAAACGACACGUGCAAAGUACAUCCUUGCGACUAGAUGUGCAUGUUUUCGAGUCUUGAAAGGACAGAGAUAAAUGUUCAUCCGAAUAUCUCUCCAAGCAGAACCUGCAGUCUAGCACGUAACGGGAUUAGUCUCAACAUUGAUCCCCCCUCUACCCUGUCACAAGUGAAUCCGAAAAACGUCCACCACCGAAACAACACACACGUGAGUCACCCGGAAUCAUAUUUUUUCUUCCCUGCGCGCUAACUAGUCUUCAUCACUGUGAAUCAACACACGCUCGUACGGGCUGUGAUGGAUGAGUCGAAACCUGAUCGAAAGCAAAUUGCUUCUUCUUCUUAUUGUAAUCGAGCCGUGUUAAAAAUGUCCCGCCUUCUUUUUUCUCUUCUCUGGGCUGAGCUUAGGUGAACCAUUUGGGUGGAUCAGUUUGCACAUGGAGAAACGAGGCGUGAUGAGUAGGAGGAGGGAAUCGAGCGAAGCUAAAAAUUCAUUUGUUGCUGGUUGACAGUUUUACGACCGGCUUCCACACCUACUUCAUUAGCGCUGCUCGACUCGGUUCCCUCCAACUCGUCUCACCAUCAAAACACAACAAACACGGAUCUCUAUAUAUCUGCCACGAGGAUAUUCUGAUGCCUUGAUCAACAUCUCGCCUAGCUAGUCUCUCUCUUCACCUUUUGGCGUAUUAUGACUAGCGACUGCGUCAGCUUCUACGGAUCCACCCAGUUAAAUGAUGAAUUAGAGAGAAAAACAGCAGUUGCCGGCUACUUGUUGUACGGUCGCAAAGUGGAGCUGAAAGCCGCCCAGGAAAAAAAGAAAGAAAGAACCUUAUGAUAUUACAUAUCUCUUUCACGAGCUUUUGACAGGAUAGCUCUCGCUCCACACUCCAUUGAAAACAACAGCAAAAAUCGCUCCUGUAUUUAUGUUGCUUUUCUCCGACGACAUUUUUCCCCCGUUGGAAGGUUCAAAAAAUUGAAGGAAAAAAAUAUUUUGAUUGUUUUUAUUAUUAUUUUCAUUUGCUGGCGCGCGGCAAUUUAUUGGCAUGGUGGUUGGAACGUCUUCUGGCUGGCUGGGAACGUGCCUUGCGUCGUGUCGUCCCGAGUUUAAAAAUAUCGCUCGUGUUUGACGGGUCAAAGAAAAAGAGAGGAAAUGGAAGGCAACAGCUGCCGAGCUGCGCGACAAGUUGCCGACCGAAGUGAAGGGAUCCUCGGCGGGACCCGAAACUCGCGAGGAUUAGACACGAAAAAAAACCUAUUUCCAGCUCUGUAUGUAGGCAACCGUAUAUAAUGUCCGUUGGGGCUUUCCAACUUGAUCCACUUGGACAAGUGGAAUGUCUUAAGUAAUAGUCGUUUCGUUAUAGCGUAAGCCAGCGGGGGCUGCCUACUUCUUCUUCUUUAAAUUUUACUGGUCCUGUGUAUGCGCAACGGAAAAGAAAAACAGGAAAAAAACGAAGGAUUUUUUUGGUUGUUGAGCGCGACAAAUUUGUGUAUUGAUAACAACAUAGCGGGUUCACCGUAAUCAUGGAGAAAAAAGUUCUAUUGUUUUAAGUAGGAUAAAUAUGUACAACAGUUUGAGGGGGUUAGUAAACAACUCGUGCGUUUCGAUCUAGAGAAUGAGUUUCAUUUUCAAAAUAUUUUCCAAUUGAUAAAUUUGUUUUCUUUUUCUUAGGAGAGAGAGAGAGAAUACUAUAUUUUAAUCAUCAGACUGUGCCGGUGUUGGUUGGAGCUGUGGUCGUGGUGCAAGUCGUGGCCAAACUCUCGACGAUGAAGCUGAGCCGGUCGAGACUGGACGAUCCUGGAGCGGAUCCUUGCCCUGUACCAGAUCCUUCAUUACCUGUUGGUGAUGCCAAAAAAAGAAAUUAGUUUGAUCAAUUUUUGUUUUGAAAAUUUUAAAAAAUUUGUGCUUGAAUAAACAUGAAUCAGAUUAUCCGACAAUGCCGCUUUUAAGAUCGACUGCUAUUGCCUAUUAAUUUUCGUUCGAAAAAUGUCCUCGUGAUAUACUGAAAUUUAAAGUUUAGAAAAUGUAUUAGGCAAAGCUAAAACCCUAUUUUAAAAUAAUAAUAAUAAUAGUUUGGAUUGCUUGUAUAAUUAGACGUUAUUCUUUCCUUACGAUAUUCAUUUCUAUCACCACGAGUUUAGAAGACUGCAUCUGCUAAGUAUUCUUUUUGCUUUUUCUUCAAAUUUAAGUUUAAGUUGUCUGUCUAACAAGUAACAAAGAAUGAAAGAUGAUUAAAUGAUUGCUAGUCUGUUGUAACAUUAACCAAUCUUGAGUAAGCUGAGAUUUUUAAUUAGUGGCAAUGGCAAAGCUCGAAAGCCACUCUUGACUGUGGUGACAUGGACAGCACUGUCGGUCUUACCCAAACAGGAUUAAUGGCUGAUGGGUUACACAUAAACCCUUUUGGCUGGUCCGAAAAAAAGACAAGACAUUUUGAAAAUCAGCAGAUGACUGCAAAGUGCUGGGCAAUAAUGUCCGAGCUGAAGGUCAGUUUUGAUUUUUGUCUUGUGUAUGGCACACACACACUGAACUUUUGCAGAAAACCAGACCUCGUCGCAGCGUGUGUUUUCCCUAUUCGAGGGAUCUCCUGUAGCUUUUGAGUGUUCCAAAAAGAAACAAAAAAGAAAGACUAUAUAGUUUCUUCGAUCACUCUUCAGCGGAAGUAACACACGUGGCUGGGGUCGUCUCCGAUUCCACCCUCUUACACCUCAUCUAUAGCUAUCCAGCAUGCACACUCCUUUUUCUUUCCCCUUUCCCAAUAGUAGCCAUUAAAAAAUCCUUGGCUUUCUCUCUCUCUCUCUGGAGUGCGAUGGGAAGUUGACCGACAGCUUUAUUUGAGAGUUCCUGUAUACUCCUCGGGAGAGUCGAGUAAUUCGACGACACAGACUUUUAAAAAAAUACACGUACGAGAGCUCUUUGGAAGAGGUAAUAAAGCUCGUCCUAGAAGGGGGAAAUCCGCUUUUACCGCAGAACAAACAGUUCGUAAAUGCAGCUCUGGAAAUGCGAAUUUUGGGCACGAUGUAAUAUUUUCUUUUGAAUAUUCGAUGGAUUGCGUCUGACGCCAUAAUAAUAUCGGCUCGAGACUAAAUAUCCAACGUCGUUUGACAGGAGCGUUUUCUUUUCUAAAAUUAGUCGCGAUGCCGUCGUCAAAUUCGCUGUUAAUGGCCUGUUAAACGGGUUUUUACUUAUUUCCUUUUUCAUUUAAUGGCCAGGAUAUGCAAGAUGACGUCAGUCUGCUCUUCUUCUUCUUUCAAAACUAACACUCUCAUUUUAAUUUGUCCCUCUAGGUGAUCCAGAUUCAUAAGCGAAAAGGAAGAGCUGGUGGUGAGCAAUCGAUACCCUCUCGUGGUGGUAGUAAAAAAGGAAAAAAGCCUGGAAGAAGAAUGACAUUUUUAAGACAAAUUAGUUGAGACGUGGGAGCGCCGCACAUUGGAGAUGGGAAGGCUCUUGGAGUGAUUCCUCCUCCCUUGGUGGGAGGGAUCAUAAACGACUUCAUUAGCCCUCACUGGAACUAGCGAAGCAAUCGAAACGGACUGUCUUAAUAUAAUGGACGUGAGGAGAGACGUGAAGAAGCGCCGUGUUUUGCCUGGGCAACUGCUGACGGCGUCGACGACGGACAAGCGCGAGAGAGGUGCUACUCCCCGAUAUUGGAAAACGUAGGAGGACAUUUUCUCUCGAUACUCGUCAACACGGCAGUCAAUCUGUUGUCUGCCCAACGUCCAAAUGGCCGUCGCGUCGACAAGUUGGUCAGACAUUCGCUGAACUGAUGAAGUCGAGUCUGGUAGUAGGCCACAACGUUCGUCAUCUGCACCAAUAGAAUAAAGAAGGGAUGGUGAAAUUGUAGCGUAACCGGAGAGUGGUGAGAGCCAUUCAUUUUAAAACAGAAAGAGCGAUGGCGGGGUAUAUGACUUACGUAGCCGUUGUUGUGAACCGAUAUGGGUUCGUUGUCUCCUCUAUUCUGGCCGGAAUCGCCGCUACCGCCCGAUGUGGAAGGAUCCCUCGAGGAUGACAGCAUGUCCUCCAGCGACUCGAUGUAUUCGAUGGCAUUGCGCAGAAUCUCCACUUUAGGCAGCCGCUGGCCCGGAUUGUUGCUAGUCCGACGCUUGAGCGAUUCAAAGGCUUCAUUGACCUACGUGCUUUACGCCGGUCGACGGUGACGUUCUUCUUUUUGCAAGCCUUGCAAGCCCAGAGCAGACAGCGACGUCCUUGGUGUCCGUCCAAAUGAUGUUGGGCGUUGUGAUCGGCCACCGUCGACGCCACAGACGAGCCAGACGAC
Molecule: long non-coding RNA, 4764 nt
Organism: Daphnia pulex (common water flea)
Lineage: Eukaryota; Metazoa; Arthropoda; Branchiopoda; Diplostraca; Daphniidae
Exons: 8
Source: RefSeq, a predicted model, not a curated record